RNAcentral lists this long non-coding RNA (245 nucleotides) under Elaeis guineensis (African oil palm). RNAcentral's name for it is "long non-coding RNA (EGUI_LNC053030)". The record is from RNAcentral. Lineage: Eukaryota; Viridiplantae; Streptophyta; Magnoliopsida; Arecales; Arecaceae.
GUAUCUCAUAGUGAAAAUCAGAGAUUAAUUGGCUCACAAAAUCAUAAACAAUUUAUGGUUGCCACCCAAAAGGAAUGGGGAUGAGAUAAGGACUUGUUUGAUUUGAAUUUCAAACUCCCUUUGAAUUUCAAAUCAAACGCCACUUAACCCAUCCAUAUCCAGAUGAAAGAGGAGGCUGAACAAGCUUUUUGGCAUGAGAAAUAAAUCAAGAAGUCUUCCUUUUGUUGCACAUAUUAGAGGCUUUC